UCAGACCAUGCAGAAACACGAUGUUCAUAGAUACAUUUAUAUUUAGAACUAACCCACACUUCUUUACGGUGCGUGGGCGCUCAGAAACGAGUGUAAAUAUACAGUAUAUGCGUGCAUUAUUUCGGAAAUACUUACAAGUAUUCUGUAUCCGAAAUGGGAGGUGCUUACAGGCCUAAUGCGCAUAAUGAAUUGCCUAGUGGUCUCCUCGCUGUGAGUGUACUACUGUUUUUUCCAACAGGCCUGGGAUUUUAUGGCACAGUUGGUAGGUAGCGCGGAGUCACUGGGCUGCAUGUGAGAAUACUACUGUUUCUUCACAGCUAGCUUACAACGCAUGUGCCACUGUUUCUCAGUGUUGUAGUGGUACCCGGAGAAACGGGUAUAACCUACUAUAUUUUGCCAACAACUUACCAAACGGCCUUCCUAGCGAAGUAAAGACGCCCUGAGUGAAAAAUAGUUUUCCUAAUAGUUUUUGCAGGGUUUCACUGUCAAAAUCUAACUUUUUUUUAAUAUAGCACAACAAAAAGUGCGCACCUAGCAAGCGUAGGCUAACUGUGUUUAUGUGCUGUACAACAAUGUAGGCCUACAGUGUACCUUUGAUUUUGCUAAACAAAUGCCCUCCCGAUUGAUACAAAUCAUCAUGACGUAAUUCUACCAGGUCAUCAGGCUGCUGAUUAUCCCGCACACCUGUCACCAUCAUCUCAUGCACCUGCACCUCAUGACACUCACCUGGAAUCCAUCACCACCUUGAUUAUCUUCCCUGUGCCUGUCACUCCCCUUGGUUCUUUCCUCAGGUAUUAUUGACUCAGUUUCAUGUCGUUGUUUGUGUUUCGUGUUCAUUGUGUCUUUAUUUCUUAAAACACUCACUCCCUGAACUUGUUCCCAACUCUCAGCGCACUUGUUACAGUUUCUAUGGAUUUUAUACCAAUGUUCUGUGUAAUAGCCUCAAAUAUACACUGCUCAAAAAAAUAAAGGGAACACUAAAAUAACACAUCCUAGAUCUGAAUGAACAAAGGCGGAGGUAACAGUCCUGUUGCUGGGUUGUUGCCCUCCUACGGCCUCCUCCACAUCUCCUGAUGUACUGGCCUGUCUCCUGGUAGCGCCUCCAUGCUCUGGACACUACGCUGACAGACACAGCAAACCUUCUUGCCACAGCUCGCAUUGAUGUUCCAUCCUGAAUGAGCUGCACUACCUGAGCCACUUGUGUGGGUUGUAGACUCCGUCUCAUGCUACCACUAGAGUGAAAGCACCGCCAGCAUUCAAAAGUGACAGCCAGGAAGCAUAGGAACUGAGAAGUGGUCUGUGGUCACCACCUGCAGAACCACUCCUUUAUUGGGGGUGUCUUGCUAAUUGGCUAUAAUUUCCACCUGUUGUCUAUUCCAUUUGCACAACAGCAUGUGAAAUUUAUCAGUGUUGCUUCCUAAGUGGACAGUUUGAUUUCACAGAAGAGUGAUUGACUUGGAGUUACAUUGUGUUGUUUAAUUAAGUGUUCCCUUUAUUUUUUUGAGCAGUGUAUGUAAACAGACCAUAAAUGUCUUAGAUGUUAUUUUCUUGGAAAGCUGUGAGUGCUAUUAUAUAAUACAAUAUCAGUACUUGUGUUUAAAACUUGUCUAAGUCCUAUCAUCAACUGAUUUGAGCCAGUCUAUGGCUGUGUGUAGACUGCAUUGUUUGAAUUGAGUGUUAGCACAGUGGCAGUUAAUUUGAAAAAUUACUGUAAUCAUUCCUCUAAAACUGUCUGGCUAGCUAACAUAUAUACAGUGCGGAUACAUUUGUCACAUUUAUUGUUUUACACAUGAUCUUAUCACAGCACUGACGAACCAUGGUUGGCCAACUCCCUUACCAACAUGGCUGACCUUUGGACCAUCAUGAGAAGGUUCAUGUCCAUUCUAGUAUUCUAAUUCCUAUGUUGAAUAACCCCUUUUGUUUCCAGGUAGAAGAACCUGUCUGGUUCCAGGUAGAACCCUUUUGGGUUCCAUGUCCAAUCCUUUUCAAAGAGGGUUCGACCUGGAAGGGCUUCCCCUAUGGGGACAGCCGCAAAACCUUUUUGGAACCCUUUUUUCGAGUAGUGUAGAUAUCAUAAAUUGAAACGUCCUUCCUACUUACCCGAUCGACUACCAAUGUUGUUCUUCUGUGAACUGCUCCAUGAUGAUAUUCCGCUGAAACUAGGGUAUGUGUGCAGCUCGGAUUAAUAUAUUUCACAUGCUUAGCGUUUGUGUAGGCUACUUUGUGCAUGAUUCUCUGUUGUUUUACAUAAUAGAUACAGUGUAUACCUCCACUACACUCUUUUGAUACGCAUCAGUGGGUAAAAAAAGUGGGUAUUGGGCGUAAUACCUGCGUAUAGUCCCAACUACACCACUUCUGUUUUUCACACGGCCCCCACUACAAAUGAUCCAGAUGCCAACCCUUUAUUGGUGGCAGCAGUGGGAUAGUCUCUUGGGCAUUGUCUGUGUGCAGAAUCUCUUCUAAGAUUGCUAAAUAAUAAUAAAAACGAAAUAUUAUUACCAUUUUAGUCCAUGCUGUACUAUAAAGUGCUACCCCGCCCAUAUAAUAGGAUCAACGGACUCUCAGAGGAAAAAUACAGCCAUUAGUAUGAACUCAUUGAUGCUGCUGCCCCAACAGAGGUCAUCCAAGAGUACUUGGUAACCUGAUUACAAAUCAGACCAGUCAUGGUGGCUGUUCCUGUUCAGGCUCAAGAUCAACAGAGGUGACUAAUGGAGACUGUCUAGAGAGAAGCAAGGGUCUUCGGCCUGCCAGGAAGAGAAGGCUCCUGAGUCCUGAUAUCUUUCUCUCUCUCUUGUUUGGAGCCUGCCCAGAAACAGGGAAUUAUCAUUCAGUUUGACCAGCCAGACAUAUUCCCUGGUUCACAAGAACAAGGCCAUCUCUAGUCUUUGAAGUCACUAUGCAACUUAAAUAAAAGUUUCUUUGAUGUGCCGAAUAUGUCCCUAGUUUGCUGCCGUAGAGAGAUGGGACGUUACAGAGGUAAUAUGUAUUUGUGUUAUAAUUUUUUUUUUUUAUAUGUCAUGACAGGACACUGGAUAUAGAUAUAGAUAGACUUAGGGUAUAGACAUAGAUAGGCAUUGACAAUUUGGUGUGUUACAGUAUUUGUUCCUCUAUCUAGUUCCCUUCCCCCUUCUCUUUCAAUAUUGGUACAACACAAUGGUUGCUCACCCACAGCCCCAGAUUCCAAAAGGUAGUUUAGUUUACUGUAGCCCAGGGCCAGGCAACUAAUGUUAAAGUUUACCUUUGUCAAAAAUUAAAUGUGCUUUUGCAUGUCUUUACUGUACAUGUCCCACCUCACUAGUGAAUUGUUACUAAAUGUGAUCAUGGAUUGGAGAAAUAAAACAAGAUCCUAUAUAAUGGUUUAUCCUCCAUAUGUAGUAGGACUAACCAUAUGGGACUCUUCUAUACACAGCGAAACGCAGAAGCACUGAAGAGUAUCUGCAUAAUUAUCACCAGUGGAAUUAUGGGGUGUAAAAUGUAAAAGCAGUGUGCCAGUAAAGGGUCUCCCAAGACACAUACAUGGCUCCUUACUUACUCAUUACUUUCCACUGGGAUUCUCUGCCUCUAACCCUGUUACAGGGGCUGAGUCACUGGCUUACUGGGGCUCUCUCAUGCCGUCCCUGGGGGGGGUGCAUCACCUGAGUGGGUUGAUUCACUGUUGUGGUCAGCCUGUCUGGGUUGGCGCCCCCCCCCUUGGGUUGUGCCGUGGCGGAGAUCUUUGUGGGCUAUACUCGGCCUUGUCUCAGGAUGGUAAGUUGGUGGUUGAAGAUAUCCCUCUAGUGGUGUGGGGGCUGUGCUUUGGCAAAGUGGGUGGGGUUAUAUCCUUCCUGUUUGGCCCUGUCCGGGGGUGUCCUCGGAUGGGGCCACAGUGUCUCCUGACCCCUCCUGUCUCAGCCUCCAGUAUUUAUGCUGCAGUAGUUUAUGUGUCGGGGGGCUAGGGUCAGUUUGUUAUAUCUGGAGUAAUUCUCCUGUCCUAUUCGGUGUCCUGUGUGAAUCUAAGUGUGCGUUCUCUAAUUCUCUCCUUCUCUCUCUCGGAGGACCUGAGCCCUAGGACCAUGCCCCAGGACUACCUGACAUGAUGACUCCUUGCUGUCCCCAGUCCACCUGGCCAUGCUGCUGCUCCAGUUUCAACUGGCCUGGGCCCUAGGACCAUGUCCCAGGACUACCUAACAUGAUGACUCCUUGCUGUCCCCAGUCCACCUGGCCAUGCUGCUGCUCCAGUUUCAACUGUUCUGCCUUACUAUUAUUCGACCAUGCUGGUCAUUUAUGAACAUUUGAACAUCUUGGCCACGUUCUGUUAUAAUCUCCACCCGGCACAGCCAGAAGAGGACUGGCCACCCCACAUAUGCUCUCUCUAAUUCUCUCUUUCUUUCUCUCGGAGGACCUAAGCCCUAGGACCGUUCCCCAGGACUACCUGACAUGAUGACUCCUUGCUGUCCCCAGUCCACCUGACUGUGCUGCUGCUCCAGUUUCAACUGUUCUGCCUUAUUAUUAUUCUACCAUGCUGGUCAUUUAUGAACAUUUGAACAUCUUGGCCAUGUUCUGUUAUAAUCUCUACCCGGCACAGCCAGAAGAGGACUGGCCACCCCACAUAGCCUGGUUCCUCUCUAGGUUUCUUCCUAGGUUUUGGCCUUUCUAGGGAGUUUUUCCUAGCCACCGUGCUUUUACACCUGCAUUGCUUGCUGUUUGGGGUUUUAGGCUGGGUUUCUGUACAGCACUUUGAGAUAUCAGCUGAUGUACGAAGGGCUAUAUAAAUACAUUUGAUUUGAUUUGAUUUAACCCCUCUAAUAGACCAAAAUAUAGCUAGUGUUACAAAUGGCACCCUAUUCCCUAUUAUAUAGUGCGCUACUUUUGACCUGGGCCCAUAAUAGUAGUGCAUCACAUCGGGAAUAGGGUACCAUUUGAGGGCACAAAUUGCUGUAUGGUAUUGUCCUCGUCUUUACAGUGUCCACGUCGCUCUAGUUUCUCAUCACUAUAUGUACUGAACUGCUUCAAAUAUUCAGUUGUUGGACUAAUUGGAACACCUGUCUGCUAUGUCUUUCAAAUUAGGGGAACAUGGAAGGGACAUCUAACAGUAUUGAGAGAGUGCAGGUUCAAUUCUGAUCAGCCACAACCAUACAGUAACAAAGUCCCUUUGUCUAACCUAAUGGAUUUACUACAGAAUAAAAUAAACUCUUUCAUGACUCAAAGAUCAAAUCAAACUGUAUUUGUCACAUGCACCGAAUACAACAGGUGUAGAUCUUACAGUGAAAUGCUUACUUACAAGCCCUUAAAACUUCUUUGGGAUCAGUGUCCCGUCCAUGGCACGGUUGAGCUAAUGUAGGCUAAUGUGAUUAGCAUGAGGUAGUAAGUAACAACAAAUUCCCCCAGGACAUAGACAUAUCUGAUAUUGGCAGAAAGCUUAAAUUCUUGUUAAUCUAACUGCACUGUCCAAUUUAGAGUAGCUAUUACAGUGAAAUAAUACUGUGCUAUUGUUUGAGGAGAGUGCACAGUUUUGAACAUGAAAAGUUAUUAAUAAACAAAUUAGGCACAUUUGGGCAGUCUUGAUACAACAUUUUGAACAGAAAUGCAAUGGUUCAUUGGAUCAGUCUAAAAUGUUGCACAUACACUGCUGCCAUCUAGUGGUCAAAAUCUAUAUAGCAGCUGGGCUGAAAUAAUACACUAUGGCCUUUCUCUUGCAUUUCAAAGUUGAUGGGACCAAAAAAAUACAAAAUAAUGUUUUUUUUUCUUGUCUUUGUAUUAUCUUUUAUCAGAUAUAUCGUGUUAUAUUCUCCUACAUUCCAUUUCCACAAACUUCAAAGUGUUUCCUUUCAAAUGGUGCGAAGAAUAUAACCUUGCUUCAGGGCCUGAGUUACAGGCAGUUAGAUUUGGGUAUGUAAUUUUAGGCAAAAAUUGAAAAAAAGGUGGAUCCUUAACCAACAAUGCAGCUGAAAAAAAUGUAAUAGAUAAAUAUCAAAAAUAAACAACAACAAAAAUAUUAUAUAUCAAAUAUAUGAAUAAGAAAUAAAAGUCUUAACACUUGAAACUGAGGUAGAGUUGAGAGGUCAAAGGCCAGAUUUUACGUCACAAGGUUUUCACACCUAAUAACCAGUCCUCUGCCAGAAGACCACACUUGCCUCACAUGGCAACCAUGUAAAUCUCUCAGCAUGUGGCCCUGACCACCACUCAUAUGUUAAUGUAUGCCUCACUUUGAAACCCCAGACUGAAAUACCUUUAUUCACAGAAAUUCCUCAAGAGUUGAGGUAGAAAUGGAACAUUUCUCCAGCUGUUUUUUCUGGGGCAAGGUGAUAUCAUUCUCCAUACUGCUUCUCUCCCUGACCUGCCUUCUCCCUUUCCUCUUCCACCCUUCUCUCUUUCCCCUUCUCCUCUUUUUCUCUAGCUCUCCUUCAAUUAAUACUGAAGUUGUUCAUUAGUCACUGUGGUUUUUUAUAAUUUCCAUCUGAAUCUGUGAACCUUUAAGCCUUCACACAGCUGAAAGUCUAACAACAUCCCAAAAUAUAUGCGGUCAGCCAACAGCUUGAGGAGAAAGGAUAUGCAUAUCUUCAGCCAGUCCCUGCCCUGCCCCUUAACACUAGAUCUAGUACAUUAGACAGAGAAAAAUGAGGGCUGUGGAGUUUGCAGAGACUGUCUGAAAUACAUUCAUUCACUUUCCCUUUUUUGCUAAUGUAAACCUUUAAACGCCAUGCAUCACUGAAAUUUACAUUUAAAUUAAAUUGACUUGGGGCCAGAAGAUGAGUGUGAGUCCCCAGACACAUUCUGGUGGCAGUGCUGUGGUCUUUAUUUACUGAUCUGUGCUCUCAGUCUGUUUCCCAAAUGGCACCCUAUUCCCUAAAUAGCGGAGGAUGGGGUAAGUUGAGCUGUUUUUUUUUACAUUCAGCAUCACUACAUCAAGGGAAUAUAGUAUUCUUACUAGCAAAGAUACAGUAUCUACAUAUAUUUCAGGAUGUUGUGUAUCCCUGAAAAUUAUCAGAAUUCAUAUAAACAUAACAGUUUUGAAAACAUAGCUUUUCCCAAAAAAGGUUCAGCCACCUUGGGGUAAGUGGUGGACAGUGGGUGAUGGUGCUGGUAGGUCAAAGUUUAAUUAAUGGAAUGGGUGUGUGGUAUAUUGUAUAUCUUAAAUGUAUGCCAACGUUCAGAUAUAGAUAUUACUGUUCAAUAUCACUUACCCUUUCAUUUCUUGACUAGUUGUCUGCGACAGGGAUGUUGUUUCGAUGUGCCAAUUUGUAGGAAAGUUCUCUGAAUUUGAGGCUACUAAAUCCCAUGAAACUGGUCUGCAAGAUUCUUGAUAUGUUUAGCAAGCUCAGACUCCAUAUCAUCAGAUACAGUAAGACCUUGAUGUAGGAACUUAAUUUGAGCCAGUUUGCUACAGCAGGAAAAUAAUCUUGCAGCAACAGGAAAUGUGAUUUAUUAUGUGGAUUAUAGUUAAUGGACUUUUUUUUGUGGGGGUUGAUGCAUUUUUGUUCGGGCAAAUCAAGUCUGACAUUUUAAAGUGGAAAAUACAAACUUUAGAAGCCUUUUUAAACCUUUAAUACACUGCAAGUUUGCAUUUCCUGCCAUGCAGGAAAAAUUGCAGCCGCAAUAAAAUGAUAAAAUUAAGAUCCCUUAUCUGUACUCUAUCAUAGCCUCUCUGUUUGUUUUCUUUUUUUCAAUGUACCUCUUCAGUGUCAUUCAGUCUAUUUUUUUUCAUCUGUUAAUGCUGCUCCAAUGAACAGUACCCGACCCUGAACUUACAGUAGUCUCUCAAGAACCUCAAGGGGGGCUUGGCCCCUGCUGGUUUUACGUUUGUGUCACGUUCUGACCUUUAUUUUCCUUUGUUUUGUCUUUAUUUAGUAUGGUCAGGACAUGAGUUGGGGUGUGCAGUCUAUGUUUUGUGUUUCUAUGUUUAGGUUUUUGUUUCGGCCUAGUAUGGUUCUCAAUCAGAGGCAGAUGUCGUUAGUUGUCUCUGAUUGAGAAUCAUACUUAGGUAGCCUGGGUUUCACUGUUGGUUUGUGGGUGUUUGUUUCCGUGUCUGUGUCUGUCACCACACGGGACUGUUUCGGUUUGGUUUUCGUUCAUGUUCACAUUUAUUGUUUUGUAUUUCUUAGUAUUCAGUUUAUGUUUUAUAAUAAACUAUAUGGACACUUA
Molecule: long non-coding RNA, 8121 nt
Organism: Oncorhynchus nerka (sockeye salmon)
Lineage: Eukaryota; Metazoa; Chordata; Actinopteri; Salmoniformes; Salmonidae
Exons: 2
Source: RefSeq, a predicted model, not a curated record